AAGACUAUAGACCUGCGGAGUACCUGCGGAGGGAUCAUUACUGAGUUUCACAACUCUCUAACCCUGUGUGAACUGAAGUCUGGUUGCUCAGGCAGGCGGCCCCCGGGGGGAGCCGCAGCUUCUCUGAAGCGCCUGCCGGAGGAUACCUAAACUCGUUUUAACAUAUAAUCUUCUGAGUAAUAAAAAAAAAUGAAUCAAAACUUUCAACAACGGAUCUCU
Molecule: unclassified non-coding RNA, 219 nt
Filed under: soil metagenome
Description: partial contains 5.8S ribosomal RNA, internal transcribed spacer 2, and large subunit ribosomal RNA
Source: RNAcentral